UCAAAAAGAUCGCCCCCACCCCCAAACUGGUUUAUCGCAAGUUAUACUGAACAUCUCCCAAGUCGUUGCUUUUCCUUGAUCUUCUCACUUCGUUGGAAUAUUGUGGUAAUUAUUUUUCUUUCUUAUCUUCUACUGCUUCUACGAGGGCUUCCAUCUUUCAUAGGAUAUUAGGUUCCAAUAUUCAACACAUCAUCAAAAAGUGAAAUAUUAAUCGUAAGUGAAAUAGGGUAUUAAACCCAAAGAUAAUAGUAGCAAUUUAUUCUUUUCAAUUGGAUGCCCUCCGAGGGGACACAAAUUGCACAAGUUUCCAUUAAUAUCAUAAGGAGGGAUUUAGGGAUCAAUAUAGAGACGGUUGCAAUUUCUAAAAAUCAACUUCAAGUUUCCAUUAAUAUUUUUUACAUUUUCCUUUGAACUUCUUGUUUUAAACUUUAGUUGGGUUUUAUUGGUUUUAGCGUAGUUCUGAGUUAAAGUUAUGAUUUUUUUUGAAGUUUUGAGCUAUUUGGUUAAAUGGGUUGGUUAUUAUUUCUUGAAAUAUUUAGUUGUGCUUCUUGGUUUGUGUAUUACGUGGGGUUUUGAUUAAUUUUUUUUUCCUCCUAGAGUAAGAGAUGAAAUUUCCACUCCCAGAGAAAAGCCAUGAUUUUCUUUGGAUUCUUUCUUUAUCUUUACAGAAAAUGAAGGAUUACAGCAGCAGAAAUUAAAUACUUAGCAAGUAUCAUUUGAUGUGUUAUAACUUCAUGUUUCACAAUUUUUGAGCUAUUCUCAGUUAUACUUUUUCCAGGCAUGUAAAAUUUUCAAGGGACAACGAUACACCAAUAGGCUGGUCGAAAAGCUAAUUACUGUGCUUUGAUGGAGAUCACAUGUGAAAGACCAAGACAUCAUGAAAAUUCGAUUUUGAUGUAUUUAUCAGUGAUACCUACCUUUACUCUACUGAUGGAAUCACUGCUGCAUAUACAAACAUAGCAAACUGGAUUAGACUGAGAUAGUAGGCCUUGAAUUAUUUCGAUGUAAAUUUCUUCAAUUCAGACUGAGUCAU
This 1033-nucleotide long non-coding RNA is filed under the name Nicotiana tabacum (common tobacco). Its description in RNAcentral is "long non-coding RNA (NTAB_LNC000715)". Lineage: Eukaryota; Viridiplantae; Streptophyta; Magnoliopsida; Solanales; Solanaceae. The record is from RNAcentral.